AAAGUCAGAAAAUUUUUCAUUGAACAAGUGAAAUCAAAUGUGGAAAACGAAAUUAAUAUCUUAAAAAGUCCGUAAAGACACAAUGUCUGUUUUAAGCAAGUGGCAAUGGUGCCCUACGUGUGCUGCAGUUUUGCCGGACCCAAUUUUAUAGGUCGAAAGCCUAUCACCAUACUGGCCGACUAAAUACCGCCAUGAUUAUGGAAAUCUGGCCUAAUCUCCUACAUCGACAUGGCCAUCAGCUUCCUCAAUAGCGUAGCCGACUAAACAAAUCACCGCCCCAAAUUGCAUUCCAAAGUAGGGUUCUCCAAGAUGCACGGCAUGACCAAUCGCAUUCCAAAGUAUGGUUCUCCAAGAUGCACGGCAUGACCAACAACUUCAUCAAGCGUAGCCUACCACACAAAUCACCGUCCCAAAUCGCAUUCUAAAGUAUGGUUCUCCAGGAUGCACGGCAUGGCCAUCAGUUUCGUCAAAAACAUAGCCGUCCACAAAAUUUACCGCCCAAAAUCGCAUUCCAAAGUAUUGUUCUUCAAGAUGCACGGCAUGGCAAUCACCUCCGUCAAAAGCGUGGCCGACCACACAAAUCAUCGCCCCAAAUCACAUUCCAAAGUAUGGUUCUCCAAGAUGCACAGCAUGGCCAUCAGCUUCGUCAAAUGCGCAGCCGUCCACACAAAUCACCACCCAUAAACUCGGUCGAUCUACAACUUUUACUGAAGGAUAUUUUUCGAUCCGGGUCUUCAUAAGGACGUAAAUACAGAAAAUGCCGAUCAAUAA
This is a non-coding RNA of Bemisia tabaci, 771 nucleotides long. NCBI's taxonomy places the organism in Eukaryota, Metazoa, Arthropoda, Insecta, Hemiptera, Aleyrodidae. The record is from RefSeq and is a predicted model, not a curated record.